UGGGGAAUAUUGCACAAUGGGCGCAAGCCUGAUCCAGCCAUGCCGCGUGUAUGAAGAAGGCCUUCGGGUUGUAAAGUACUUUCAGCGGGGAGGAAGGGAGUAAAGUUAAUACCUUUGCUCAUUGACGUUACCCGCAGAAGAAGCACCGGCUAACUCCGUGCCAGCAGCCGCGGUAAUACGUAGGGUGCAAGCGUUAAUCGGAAUUACUGGGCGUAAAGCGCACGCAGGCGGUUUGUUAAGUCAGCUGUGAAAUCCCCGGGCUCAACCUGGGAACUGCAUCUGAUACUGGCAAGCGUAAGUCUCGUAGAGGGGGGUAGAAUUCCAGGUGUAGCGGUGAGAUGCGUAGAGAUCUGGAGGAAUACCGGUGGCGAGGGCAGCCCCCUGGACAAGGACUGACGCUCAGGUACGAAAGCGUGGGGAGCAAACAGG
This 429-nucleotide ribosomal RNA is filed under the name Chloroflexota bacterium. Its description in RNAcentral is "Chloroflexi bacterium partial 16S ribosomal RNA". It matches the Rfam family "Bacterial small subunit ribosomal RNA", at positions 355 to 776 of the family's 1533-position model. The record is from RNAcentral. Lineage: Bacteria; Bacillati; Chloroflexota.